This is a long non-coding RNA of Homo sapiens (human), 3557 nucleotides long. The record is from Ensembl. NCBI's taxonomy places the organism in Eukaryota, Metazoa, Chordata, Mammalia, Primates, Hominidae.
AGGCGCUCUCUCUGCCUCCAGAGGCGCCGGCACUGCGGGGCCCCAGUCAUGCCCGCUGCCUCAGUCUUCCAACCCGAAAAGUGGGUGGGCGAAGGAAAGCUCGGCCGAGCUGCGUCUCCAACUCCCUGCUCUCCCCUAGGGGAGCCCACCAGCUCCAAUCGCGACCUCUUCUGUCCCCAAACCACAGACCCUAGCCCGCCUCGGGGACCCGGAUAUGGAAGGGGCGGUGGAGAGCCCUGGCCUUGAUUCUCCCUGGGUCGGGAGGGCGUUCCGGCGGCCGUGGGGCUGCAGCCCUUCCUCCCCGCCUGGAAGGUGAGGGUGUGGGAGGAGCGGGAGGGGGCGAGGCCGACACAAUCCCCGUGCGACCAGCGGCGGAGCCCAGAGCCAGGUUAGGAGCGCGCUCAGGCGAGCUCGGCGGAAGGCCGAGAAGGUUCAUCGGAGGCGGCGGCGAGCCGAGACCAGGAGACAGACGGGGCGGGGUGACGAGGCGGGCCCCACCCCAGGAGCGCGGGGCCACACGGACACCGGCGGGCGGUCUUCCCCGGGAUGCGCUGGGAUUGCAGGCCUCCAGCGGCCCCGCCCGCCGCCUCCGCCCUCCCGCUCCUGAGCUGCCAAUCCAGCGGGUUCUGCCGGUCCUCGGCCGUGCGUCUGGGGUCUGGAUUCCCGGCUCCACUCGCCGUGAGCGCGCGUGUCAGCCGACUCGCCCCGGACCGCAUGGUGCAGCUCCCGCAGGGCCGCAGCCGCGGGUCGUCGCUGAUUGCCAGCUCCGCGCCCACUGCACCGCUGCGCGGCCGCCUAGGGCUCAUUGCGCGGAAGUCGGCCUGGUCCCUCCCCUGGGCUGGAUGGGCCCGCUCCUCCCGAGCGGUCGUGCUCUGAGUUGAAUGCGAUAGAGGCUUCUGGGCGCGUCGCGGGCUAGGUCCAGGAGCUGUGAUCCUCUCCGAGGUCUCAGUGUGCCCGCAGCGCCCCCUGCAGUGCGUCUCCUGCAAGGGGCCCGGAACACAUUCCUGUCCCCGCCAGGCCUGGAGGCCCGAGCGCCUGCUUUUCAUCCACUCUGCCCACCCGCCUCUGCGGUCGGCUGCCUUGGGCGCUGGCCUUAGCAGUUCUGAGUUUGAAUUCAAUCGCCAAUACACAGAAAGCCACACAAAUGUGAAGAUUUGUGAAUUAUUAUCAAAUGAACACCUUUGUAACCACUACCCAAGCCAAGAAACAGUACUUUCCCCCAGAAUACCUUACCCGUGCUCCUUCCCGAUUUCACUCGACUCCCUCCUUCCCAAAGUAGCCACUCUCCUGCCUUUCAUAGUAAUUACUUACCCGAGUUUUUAAAAAAUUGUUGUCACCCAAGUUCGCCUCUCUAGAGGCUAUAAAUUAGACUUGCUCAUUUUGUUAAUAUAUUUUAAGUCUCUUUAAUUUGUAGUUUCUUUCUCCAUCACUUUCUUUUCCUUGCAAUGUAUCCUUGGAAGAAUCUGAAGAGAUUUCUAGUCUGGAUUUCACUGAUUGCAUUCUCCUGGUGCAGUUCAACACAUCUCCCUGUUUUCUGCAUUUCCUGCAAAUUGACAGCUGGAUCCAAAGGCUUGAUCAGACUCAGGUUCAAGAUUUUUGGUGAGACUCCAGGUGGUGGAGUGCUGUUUUGUCAGGAGGCACAUAAUGUCUGGUUGUCUCUAUUUUUUGAGAUCUGAGGAGAGACGAUGUCCAAUGCUUACAUUCAUUAAUUCACUGGGGGAUGAAAAUGGUGAUAUACUAAUUAUAUAAUUUAUUUUUCAUUUAUCAUCUGGGUUGAUUUUAUAAAGAGACUCUUCUCCUCAUCUGCUAUUUGGUUACCCAGUGGAACCGUUCACAGAGGAAAGGCGGUUGCUGUCCAUUGUGGGGUGCAGUCCGGAAGGGAGCCCUCGCAGAUCAGUGAGAGAAUUCACAGACCUUCAGAUCUUACCGCAGAUCUGGUAAGAUCUGGAGUGAGACAAACUGCUGGUUCUCACCCGGCCCCUGCACUGUGGAUGAACAGGGCCCUCAGGUGCCCAGGCCCUGGUAAGCAUCAUUCUACUCCAUGCCUCCGUAAGAUCCACUUUUUUAGCUCCCACAUUUGAGUGAGAACAUGUGAUAUUUGUAUUUUUGUACCUGUUUAUUUCACUCAACAUAAUGAACUCCAGCUCCAUCCAUGUUGCUACAAAUGAAAGGAUAUUAUUCUGUUUUAUGGCCAAAUAAUGUUUCUUUGUGUAUAUAUACCACAUUUUCCUUAUCCAUUCAUUCAUUGGUGGAUUCUUAGGUUGAUUUCACUUCUUGACUAAUAUGAACAGUGCUGUAAUAAACAUGGGAGUGCAGAUAGUUCUUAGGUUUACUGAUUUCCUGUCUUUUGGAUAUAUCCAGCAGUGGGAUUGCUAGAUCAUAUGGUAGUUCUACUUUUAGUUUUUUGAAGCGCCUCCAUACUGUUGUUCAUAGUGGCUGUCCUAGUUUAUAUUCCCACUAACAGUGUAUGAGUGUUCCCCUUUCUCCGAAUCCUUGCCAACGUCUGUUAUUUUUUGUCUUUUUGAUAAUAGCCGUUCUAACUUGGGUGAGAUGGUAUCUCAUCAUGGUUUGAUUUGCAUUUCCUUGAUGAUUAGUGAUAUUGAACAUUUUUUCAUAUACCUGCUGACCGUUUGUAUGCCUUCUUUUGGGAAAUGUCUAUUCAGGUCUUUUGUUCAUUUUAAAAAUGAAGUUAUUUGUUUAAAAAGGAUACUUUGAAUCCAGGCACAGUGGCUCACACCUGUAAUCUCAGCACUUUGGGAGGCUGAAGCGGGCGGAUCACUUGAGGUCAGGAGUUCAAGACCAGCCUGGCCAACAUGGGGGAAAUCCCAUCUCUACUAAAAAUACAAAAAUUAGCCGGGUGUAGUGGUGGGCGCCUGUAAUCCCAGCUACCUGGGAGGCUGAGGCAGGAGAAUCUCUUGAACUUGGGAGGUGGAGGUUGCAGUGAGUUGAGAUCACACCACUGCACUCCAGCUUGGGUGGCAGAAAGAAACUCCAUCUCAAAUAAAUAAAAUAUAGGCUGGGUGUGGUGGCUCAUGCUGUAAUCCCAGCACUUUGGGAGGCCGAGGUGGGCAGAUUGCUUGAGCCCAGGAAUUUGAGGCCAGCCUGAGCAACGUGGCAAAAUCCCAUCUCUACAAAAAUAAUAAUAAAAAAAAUUAGCUGGGCAUGGUGGUAUGCACCUGUAGUCAGUGCCAGCUACUCCAGAGGCUGAGGUGGGAGGCUCACUUGAGCCUGCAAGGUAGAGGCUGACAGAGAGAGACUUUCUCUCAACAACAAUAACAACAAAAUAUAUAUGUAGGCUGGGAGCUGUGGUGCAUGCCUGUAAUCCAAGCAUUUUGGGAGGCCGAGGCAGGAGGAUCACUUGAGUUCAGGAGUUUGAGACCAGCCUGGGCAACAUAGUGAGACUUCAUCUACUAAAAAUACAAAAAAACUAGCUGAGUGUGGUGGGGUGUGCUUAUAGUCCCAGCUACUUGGGAGGCUUAGGUGGGAGAAUCACUUGAGCCUGGGAGUGGAGGCUGAAGUGAGCUAUGAUCUUACCCCUGCACUCCAGCCUGGAUGAC